Molecule: ribosomal RNA, 1118 nt
Filed under: insect metagenome
Description: bacterial SSU rRNA
Rfam family: Bacterial small subunit ribosomal RNA
Source: RNAcentral
AGAGUUUGAUCUUGGCUCAGGACGAACGCUGGCGGCAUGCCUAAUACAUGCAAGUCGAACGAUGAUAUCACUGCUUGCAGUGAUUGAUUAGUGGCGAACGGGUGAGUAACACGUGAGGAACUUGCCCAUGAGCGGGGGACAACAUUCGGAAACGGAUGCUAAUACCCCAUAGGUGGAUUGGUCGCAUGACGAAUUCAUUAAAGGUGGCUUUGCUACCACUCAUGGAUAGCCUCGCGGCGUAUUAGCUAGUUGGUAAGGUAAUGGCUUACCAAGGCAGUGAUACGUAGCCGACUUGAGAGGGUGAUCGGCCACACUGGGACUGAGACACGGCCCAGACUCCUACGGGAGGCAGCAGUAGGGAAUCUUCCACAAUGGGUGCAAACCUGAUGGAGCAAUGCCGCGUGAGUGAAGAAGGUCUUCGGAUCGUAAAGCUCUGUUGUUAGAGAAGAACACGUGCUAGGUAACUACUAGCGCCUUGACGGUAUCUAACCAGAAAGUCACGGCUAACUACGUGCCAGCAGCCGCGGUAAUACGUAGGUGACAAGCGUUGUCCGGAUUUAUUGGGCGUAAAGGGAGCGCAGGCGGUCUGUUUAGUCUAAUGUGAAAGCCCACGGCUUAACCGUGGAACGGCAUUGGAAACUGACAGACUUGAAUGUAGAAGAGGAAAAUGGAAUUCCAAGUGUAGCGGUGGAAUGCGUAGAUAUUUGGAGGAACACCAGUGGCGAAGGCGAUUUUCUGGUCUAACAUUGACGCUGAGGCUCGAAAGCGUGGGGAGCGAACAGGAUUAGAUACCCUGGUAGUCCACGCCGUAAACGAUGAGUGCUAAGUGUUGGGGGCUUUCCGGCCCUCGGUGCUGGAGCUAACGUAUUAAGCACUCCGCCUGGGGAUUACGACCGCAAGGUUGAAACUCAAAAGAAUUGACGGGGACCCGCACAAGCGGUGGAGCAUGUGGUUUAAUUCGAAGCAACGCGAAGAACCUUACCAGCUCUUGACAUCUUCUGACAACUCUAGAGAUAGAGCGUUCCCUUCGGGGACAGAAUGACAGGUGGUGCAUGGUUGUCGUCAGCUCGUGUCGUGAGAUGUUGGGUUAAGUCCCGCAACGAGCGCAACCCUUGUCU